This 959-nucleotide unclassified non-coding RNA is filed under the name Leuclathrina translucida. Its description in RNAcentral is "sequence contains 18S rRNA gene, ITS1, 5.8S rRNA gene, ITS2, 28S rRNA gene". The stretch from base 469 to 622 matches the Rfam family "5.8S ribosomal RNA". Lineage: Eukaryota; Metazoa; Porifera; Calcarea; Clathrinida; Leucaltidae. The record is from RNAcentral.
GAUGGUUUAGUGAGAUCUUCGGAUUGUGGCCGCGGGGGCUUCCGGUCUCUGCGGAUUACGAGAAGUUGAUCAAACUUGAUCAUUUAGAGGAAGUAAAAGUCGUAACAAGGUUUCCGUAGGUGAACCUGCGGAAGGAUCAUUAACGAAUCCAAACUCCUCCUUGCGGAGAGAAUCACUGUGCACCUGGUUCCCGUACACCUCCUUUCGGGGUUGACUCCUCCGCGGAGCCAUUAAAUCGGAAUGCUUUGGCGCCCGGCGGCGGCACAAACCGCCUCUGGGUUGGGAGCCGAGGCUGUGUUCCGGGCCCCGAUCGGAUCGUGUGUGCGGGUGUUGUUUCACCGCGUGCUGCGCGAGAACGCAAGCACGCAUGCGAUUUUUUUUAUCAAACAAGCAAAUUUGCAGGCUGAACUGUGCGAAAAGCGAAAGCUUGUCUCACUGAGAUGCAUUUGUAAUGAAUGUUGCAGGGACAACUUUCAACGGUGGAUCUCUUGGCUCGUGGAUCGAUGAAGAACGCAGCAAAACGCGAUAUGUAGUGUGAAUUGCAGAAUUCAGUGAAUCAUCGAAUCUUUGAACGCAAAUGGCGCUCCUGGGUAUUCCCAGGAGCAUGUCUGUCUCAGUGUCGUUUUCACCUCGAGCGCGCUGUGGCGCGGAGGUCUUGAGGCGUCUGAGUGAGUGAGAAAGUCUCAGUCAGUCCCUUGAAAUGCAGUGGCCGGACAGUAACUUGCGCGCUGCGCACCGGGUCGGUUCGCCCCGGAUCUGCUCGCACGGCUGAUUGCCCGAAUUUAUUCGGCGUCGUGUUGCAGCAACCGGAAUGCGCGAGCUUUUCAGACGAAUGUGCCAGCCGUUACUUGUCCGCAAAGCCAGCUCUGGAAUAUGCGUGUUUUCGCCCUAUCUCGGACGGAGACAUCUUUGACCUGAGAUCAGGCAAGACUACCCGCUGAAUUUAAGCAUAUUAAUAA